RNAcentral lists this ribosomal RNA (440 nucleotides) under uncultured bacterium. RNAcentral describes it as "bacterial SSU rRNA". It matches the Rfam family "Bacterial small subunit ribosomal RNA", at positions 338 to 770 of the family's 1533-position model. The record is from RNAcentral.
CCUACGGGAGGCAGCAGUGGGGAAUUUUGGACAAUGGGCGAAAGCCUGAUCCAGCAAUGCCGCGUGUGUGAUGAAGGCCUUCGGGUUGUAAAGCACUUUUGGCGGGAACGAAAAGGACUGUGCCAAUACCACGGUUCGAUGACGGUACCCGCAGAAUAAGCACCGGCUAACUACGUGCCAGCAGCCGCGGUAAUACGUAGGGUGCAAGCGUUAAUCGGAAUUACUGGGCGUAAAGAGUGCGCAGGCGGUUUUGCAAGACCGAUGUGAAAUCCCCGGGCUUAACCUGGGAACUGCAUUGGUGACUGCAAGGCUAGAGUGUGUCAGAGGGAGGUGGAAUUCCGCAUGUAGCAGUGAAAUGCGUAGAUAUGCGGAGGAACACCGAUGGCGAAGGCAGCCUCCUGGGAUAACACUGACGCUCAUGCACGAAAGCGUGGGGAGCA